Molecule: ribosomal RNA, 292 nt
Filed under: uncultured Bradyrhizobium sp.
Lineage: Bacteria; Pseudomonadati; Pseudomonadota; Alphaproteobacteria; Hyphomicrobiales; Nitrobacteraceae
Description: partial 16S ribosomal RNA
Rfam family: Bacterial small subunit ribosomal RNA
Source: RNAcentral
GUGUCAGCCGCCGUGGUAAUACGAAGGGGGCUAGCGUUGCUCGGAAUCACUGGGCGUAAAGGGUGCGUAGGCGGGUCUUUAAGUCAGGGGUGAAAUCCUGGAGCUCAACUCCAGAACUGCCCUUGAUACUGAGGAUCUUGAGUUCGGGAGAGGUGAGUGGAACUGCGAGUGUAGAGGUGAAAUUCGUAGAUAUUCGCAAGAACACCAGUGGCGAAGGCGGCUCACUGGCCCGAUGCUGACGCUGAGGCACGAAAGCGUGGGGAGCAAACAGGAUUAGAAACCCCAGUAGUCC